CUUUCGCCCGAGGCGGGCUGCGGGCUGCUGGGGUCUGGUGCGGAGGGCCAACUUCUGGGAAUAACCUGGCUGUGGGCUUAAAAAUCGUAGUCAUUCAUUAUCACGGGCUUCUCUCUCUCGAAUACCUUUAACAUUUAUCGCCUUGUUAGUCUCCACAUCCACCUCCGUGAAAGGUAGGUAUUUUUGUCCUCAUUUUAGGCCUGAAGAAACCGAGAAGCUGAGAAAUGAAGUAAUUCACUGGAAGUUGGGGCCAAGUCUUGGAUGCCCAAGCCCAAAUUCCUAACCGUGACCCUACGCUGCUGCUGCUGCUGCUACUUGCAGAAACUGGUUAUUAACCGAGAGCUGUUGCUGGAAGUAGCUUCCACUCCCCUGCCCCCGUGAUGUAAAAAUAGAUGAAAAACUCUGCAGUGAUUAUGUGAAAGGUCAGGCCGACACAGGAGUCCUGGGGCCCAGACCCACAUCUGACCCAGAAGCUUUGCAAAGAUGAGAAGGUUGGUAAACCAGCUAUAGAAAAGGCCAAACUAAUUUGGCUGUAAAUUAAGGCAGCCAAAAGCCCUCCAGGAUGUAAGACCAGGACGGAUUCUCGUGUUGAUAAAAAGGAAAAUAAAAUGGAAUCCAGUCCAAAGGCCCCAGGGAAACCUGCAAAGAAAACCACUAACCAGUUUUGAAAGUAAAAGAUAAAGCCACUUUUGUUAUUUCCCUGAAAGAGAUGUAGACUGCUGUCGAUAAAUGCUGUUUUAUGUGUAGAUAAAAAGCAAAACGGCCACACAGUAGUGAGGGUCAAAAACUACCAUCGAUGAGAGGAACAGGAGAGGCCUCGCAAAAGGCUGACAGCCAGUGAACUAGAAGCCCGAGAGGAAAAAAAGCUUUAGAAUAGUUUUAACAAAAGGAUUUGGGCUUUCCUGUACUGGGACUCUCAGCUGUUCACAAAAUUAUGCUUUCUAAAGUAACAGAUUAUCUGAAAUUGAAAUUAUUAGAGGAAAAACACCCAUAUAUAGGUAAUCAAAUUUACAUAAUUUUUUUUUUUUUAGAGAUGGAGUCUCGCUAUAUUUCCCAGUCUGGCCUCAAACUCCUGAUCUUAAGGGAUCCCCAGCUCAACCUCUCCCAGCAGCUGGGACUACCGGGCUGUCAAAUUUACAUUAACUAUGAGAAUUAAGCAGAAUCCGAAAGUCAUCUGAGUUGGCUAUCUGCACGUUCUCUCUGUACCAGUGAACUUGAACUGUGGCUGUGGCCUGGAUUCCGCAUUCAAACAUGACCAACUGACCUCUGGUUGUAGGGAUGUCUUGAAGAUGCUGAAGAACAAACACAGAGUUCAGAGGAUGGAAGAAACUGUUAUACCAUCUACAAUGAUUUGAAAUGCCAUUUGCAACUGCAGUUGACCGUGGGUUAUUGAAACCACAGAAAGUGAAACUGGAUAACGAAGGGAAACACUAUCCCAGCCUCAACAAGGAGCUUGAUUUGGGCACAGAAACAGGAGAAAGAGACCUGCCUUGCCUCCCUUAUCCAACCGGAAGUAUUCUUCUUCUUCUGUCUUCAAUUUAUUGCAUGAUCACAUUUAUUGCAUGGGUGGCUUCAGGAAGGAUUUUAGGGAUUCCUGGAAAUAAUCAGUCUUGAAAUACUCCCCUCUUCUUCCUUCAUCUAGGAUGCUUCCUCUUCUCUCAAUAUAUUCUCACUUAUGGGUAUAAAGGUAAGUUGAGUCCUCCUUUGAUAUUAACUCUGCCUUCAGUUACCCUUAACUUUCCUUUAGUCAGCUUUCAACCUAGCCUGAAGAGAAGCCUUUGGAACCCCUGUGUACAUGUUGAUGGGAAUGUAAAUUAGUACAGCCAUUAUGGAAAACAGUAUGGAGGUUCCUCAAAAAAUUAAAAUUAGAACUACCAUAUGCUCCAGCAAUACCAUUCGUGGGUAUAUAUCCAAAGGAAUUGAAAUCAGCAUAUCAGGGAGAUAUCUGUACUCUCAUGUACGUUGCAGCAUUAUUCAUAAUAGCCAAGAUAUGGAAUCAACCUAAAUGUCCAUCAAUGGAUGAAUGGAUAAUGAAAAAAUGUGACACACAUACAGACACAUACACAGAUAUAUAUACAAUGGUAUACUAUUUGGCUUUUAAAAAGAAGGAAAUCCUGUCAUUUGCAACAGUAUAGAUGAACCUGGAGGACAUUAUGCUAAGUGAAAUAAGCCGGGCACAGAAAGACAAAUGCUACAUGAUCUUAGUUUUAUGUGGAAUCUUAAAAAGUCGAACUCAUAGAAACAGAGAGUAGAAUGGUGGUUACCAGGAGCUGAGGGGUGGUUGUGGAACUGGGGAGAUACUGGUCAAAGUUUCCAAAUUUCAGACAGAAGAAAUGAGUACAAGAGAUCUAUUGUCUAUCAUGGUGACUGCAGUUAAUAGCAAUGUAUUGGAUUCUUGAAAAUUGCUAAGAGAGUAGAUCUUAAAUGUUCUCACAACAGAAAGUGAUAAGUAUGUGAGAUGAUGGAUAUGUUAAUUAGCUUGAUUUAACCAUUUCAUAACAUUAUCCAUAUAUCAAAACACAUUGUUCACUGUAAAUAUAUAUAAUUUUUGUCACCUAUACUGUAAUUUAAAAAAGUAAAUUAAAAAAAGAAGGAAAGACUUCAAAACCAACACAUUGAAUUACUCCCCUGGUAUAUUGUAAAUGCUUUAAAGCCUCAGCUUGGUUGUAAAUUCUUUAAAGCUGUGUCUUGUACUUUUUCUAUUCCAAAUGCAGAGCUAAGUAUAUAGUAAGGGCUUAAUAUAUUUUUCUUGAUUUAUUAUUCUACAAAAAACAAAGCUUACAGGAAGAGAGAUUGACUCUGUUUAUUAGGCUGAUGAACUAUGCUGUUCAGGCAGAGAAGAAACUUAGGGGACUUGUUGCAAGAAUGUUUUAGCAUUUUCUCAUUCAGCUCUGGUUUACUGGACAGACAUAUUCAGGAUAGUUUACUAAUUCUUUUAGGGCAUAAACACUUAUUCAUUCCACUAAUAGUCUUCUUUUCUAGAAGCUUUUAAAGAUAUGAGAAAUUAUUCUCAAUCCAAAAUGAUUUGAGGUUGGGGGAUAGGAGGUUUUUGGAGUGCUGGUUAGGGGAACCUGUUUCCAGGACUAUCUGGCAAACAUGAAAGUCCAGUCUCCACCCAAAGGACUAUAAAUCAUGCUGCUAUAAAGACACAUGCACACGUAUGUUUAUUGCGGCAUUAUUCACAAUAGCAAAGACUUGGAACCGACCCAAAUGUCCAACAAUGAUAGACUGGAUUAAGAAAAUGUGGCACAUAUACACCAUGGAAUACUAUGCAGCCAUAAAAAAUGAUGAGUUCAUGUCCUUUGUAGGGACAUGGAUGAAAUUGGAAAUCAUCAUUCUCAGUAAACUAUCGCAAGAACAAAAAACCAAACACCGCAUAUUCUCACUCAUAGGUGGGAAUUGAACAGUGAGAUCACAUGGACACAGGAAGGGGAACAUCACACUCUGGGGACUGCUGUGGGGUGGGGGGAGGGGGAAGGGAUAGCAUUGGGAGAUAUACCCUUCCCAAUGCUCGCUAGAUGACGAGUUAGUGGGUGCAGCGCACCAGCAUGGCACAUGUAUACAUACAUAUGUAACUAACCUGCACAAUGUGCACAUGUACCCUAAAACUUAAAGUAUAAUAAUUAAAAAAAAAAAAAAAAAGAAAGUCCAGUCUCCUAAAAGGCUCAUCUGGCAACUGGAGAGAGGGAGGUAAGACCUUAUUUCAUAUACCAGCUUGUUCAACAAUAGACCAAAUUGAUAUGAAUUAUCCACAAACACUGCAAAAAUAGAGGAAAUAAAGGCUGAUUUUCUGAAGUCUUUCCAUGUUUCCUCUCAUAUAAAAGACUUUUACCCACAAUACUUGGUUUAUGUUUCCAUUAUACCUUCUUCUCGAAGUAGCU
Molecule: long non-coding RNA, 3881 nt
Filed under: Homo sapiens (human)
Lineage: Eukaryota; Metazoa; Chordata; Mammalia; Primates; Hominidae
Description: non-protein coding lnc-HNRNPA0-4:7
Source: RNAcentral